AUUGAACGCUGGCUGCAGGCCUAACACAUGCAAGUCGAGCGGAUGAAGGGAGCUUGCUCCUGGAUUCAGCGGCGGACGGGUGAGUAAUGCCUAGGAAUCUGCCUGGUAGUGGGGGAUAACGUCCGGAAACGGGCGCUAAUACCGCAUACGUCCUGAGGGAGAAAGUGGGGGAUCUUCGGACCUCACGCUAUCAGAUGAGCCUAGGUCGGAUUAGCUAGUUGGUGGGGUAAGGGCCUACCAAGGCGACGAUCCGUAACUGGUCUGAGAGGAUGAUCAGUCACACUGGAACUGAGACACGGUCCAGACUCCUACGGGAGGCAGCAGUGGGGAAUAUUGGACAAUGGGCGAAAGCCUGAUCCAGCCAUGCCGCGUGUGUGAAGAAGGUCUUCGGAUUGUAAAGCACUUUAAGUUGGGAGGAAGGGCAGUAAGUUAAUACCUUGCUGUUUUGACGUUACCAACAGAAUAAGCACCGGCUAACUUCGUG
Molecule: ribosomal RNA, 484 nt
Filed under: uncultured bacterium
Lineage: Bacteria
Description: partial 16S ribosomal RNA
Rfam family: Bacterial small subunit ribosomal RNA
Source: RNAcentral